CUGCGAGUUCGCGGGAGAGUAAGUUAUUGCCAGGGUUUUUAUUUUAUACUUUAAACAUUGAUUUUAUUUUUUAUGUUUUUAGAUGUUCAUGUUUUUGAAUGUUUUAUUCGAAUAAUAUAAAAAAUAAAAUAUAUAUUGACAUGGAUUAAACAAAGAUAUAUAUUAUUCUAUGUUGUAUAAACAAAUUGGCAAAAUAGAGAUGGAAGAUAAAAAUAUGGUCAAAGUAAUAAGAGUCUAUGGUGAAGGCGUAAGA
RNAcentral lists this unclassified non-coding RNA (253 nucleotides) under Borreliella garinii. RNAcentral's name for it is "partial 5S-23S intergenic spacer". The record is from RNAcentral. Lineage: Bacteria; Pseudomonadati; Spirochaetota; Spirochaetia; Spirochaetales; Borreliaceae.